AGAGUUUGAUCAUGGCUCAGAUUGAACGCUGGCGGCAGGCCUAACACAUGCAAGUCGAACGGUAACAGGAAACAGCUUGCUGUUUCGCUGACGAGUGGCGGACGGGUGAGUAAUGUCUGGGAAACUGCCUGAUGGAGGGGGAUAACUACUGGAAACGGUAGCUAAUACCGCAUAACGUCGCAAGACCAAAGAGGGGGACCUUCGGGCCUCUUGCCAUCAGAUGUGCCCAGAUGGGAUUAGCUAGUAGGUGGGGUAACGGCUCACCUAGGCGACGAUCCCUAGCUGGUCUGAGAGGAUGACCAGCCACACUGGAACUGAGACACGGUCCAGACUCCUACGGGAGGCAGCAGUGGGGAAUAUUGCACAAUGGGCGCAAGCCUGAUGCAGCCAUGCCGCGUGUAUGAAGAAGGCCUUCGGGUUGUAAAGUACUUUCAGCGGGGAGGAAGGGAGUAAAGUUAAUACCUUUGCUCAUUGACGUUACCCGCAGAAGAAGCACCGGCUAACUCCGUGCCAGCAGCCGCGGUAAUACGGAGGGUGCAAGCGUUAAUCGGAAUUACUGGGCGUAAAGCGCACGCAGGCGGUUUGUUAAGUCAGAUGUGAAAUCCCCGGGCUCAACCUGGGAACUGCAUCUGAUACUGGCAAGCUUGAGUCUCGUAGAGGGGGGUAGAAUUCCAGGUGUAGCGGUGAAAUGCGUAGAGAUCUGGAGGAAUACCGGUGGCGAAGGCGGCCCCCUGGACAAAGACUGACGCUUAGGUGCGAAAGCGUGGGGAGCAAACAGGAUUAGAUACCCUGGUAGUCCACGCCGUAAACGAUGUCGACUUGGAGGUUGUGCCCUUGAGGCGUGGCUUCCGGAGCUAACGCGUUAAGUCGACCGCCUGGGGAGUACGGCCGCAAGGUUAAAACUCAAAUGAAUUGACGGGGGCCCGCACAAGCGGUGGAGCAUGUGGUUUAAUUCGAUGCAACGCGAAGAACCUUACCUGGUCUUGACAUCCACGGAAGUUUUCAGAGAUGAGAAUGUGCCUUCGGGAACCGUGAGACAGGUGCUGCAUGGCUGUCGUCAGCUCGUGUUGUGAAAUGUUGGGUUAAGUCCCGCAACGAGCGCAACCCUUAUCCUUUGUUGCCAGCGGUCCGGCCGGGAACUCAAAGGAGACUGCCAGUGAUAAACUGGAGGAAGGUGGGGAUGACGUCAAGUCAUCAUGACCCUUACGACCAGGGCUACACACGUGCUACAAUGGCGCAUACAAAGAGAAGCGACCUCGCGAGAGCAAGCGGACCUCAUAAAGUGCGUCGUAGUCCGGAUUGGAGUCUGCAACUCGACUCCAUGAAGUCGGAAUCGCUAGUAAUCGUGGAUCAGAAUGCCACGGUGAAUACGUUCCCGGGCCUUGUACACACCGCCCGUCACACCAUGGGAGUGGGUUGCAAAAGAAGUAGGUAGCUUAACCUUCGGGAGGGCGCUUACCACUUUGUGAUUCAUGACUGGGGUGAAGUCGUAACAAGGUAACCGUAGGGGAACCUGCGGUUG
Molecule: ribosomal RNA, 1522 nt
Filed under: metagenome
Description: bacterial SSU rRNA
Rfam family: Bacterial small subunit ribosomal RNA
Source: RNAcentral